GUGGAUGUAGUUCAGUUGAUUAGAGCGCCAGAUUGUGGCUCUGGAGGUCGUGGGUUUGAGUCCCAUCAUCCACCCCA
This 77-nucleotide transfer RNA is filed under the name Clostridia bacterium. Its description in RNAcentral is "tRNA-His". It matches the Rfam family "tRNA". Rfam says of the family: Transfer RNA (tRNA) molecules are approximately 80 nucleotides in length. Their secondary structure includes four short double-helical elements and three loops (D, anti-codon, and T loops). Further hydrogen bonds mediate the characteristic L-shaped molecular structure. tRNAs have two regions of fundamental functional importance: the anti-codon, which is responsible for specific mRNA codon recognition, and the 3' end, to which the tRNAs corresponding amino acid is attached (by aminoacyl-tRNA synthetases). tRNAs cope with the degeneracy of the genetic code in two manners: having more than one tRNA (with a specific anti-codon) for a particular amino acid; and 'wobble' base-pairing, i.e. permitting non-standard base-pairing at the 3rd anti-codon position. RNAcentral also lists the same sequence under 1 other name. Lineage: Bacteria; Bacillati; Bacillota; Clostridia. The record is from RNAcentral.